UCGGGUUAUAUACAUACAAAAACGAUGCAUGUGAUACUAAAUAAUGGGUACAUGUGAUUUCGUGGGGACCAUACACAAGAGGUUGAAGAAAAACACAAAAUCGGACAAAGAGGAGCAAGACAUAACAAGCCUUACUAAAGAAAUUGCAGCUUGCACUGAGGAAAUAGAGUGUCACAAAGAAAACUUACUGUUAAGGAGGCCCCAAGAGCAGCGCUGCUAGACGCUAGUAUCUGGAGUCUUGAUGCUUGCUAGUUGAGACCAUUGUCAUAUGAGUGAUCAGGAAGACAAAUUGAUUGACGAAAAGAUGGCUAAGCUCAGCCGUGGAAAUGAGGACAUCAGUGGUGAUAAAGAUAGUGAAGAGGAGGAAGAUACAGGGAUGGGAGAGAUAGACGUGGAGAGCUCAGGAACUUGAAUUAGAGAGAAGCUAUGCGUAAAGCUGAAGCCGCUGGUAAUGGUGAUUGCCCAGUUAAAAGUAAACUUGUUGCUCAUCCUGCAUAUGUUCUCAAUACUCGAGACUCUUGACAUGGUGACUGACGUGUUAAAAGAAUGAGUGUGGGGUGGUUUCUUGAUCACCUACGACUCUUGAGUGUCACGAGAUUUAUCUUGGGCUGAUUAAGUGUGUUACUGUUGGUAAGAAACCAUGUCUAGAAGUCAGUGACCGGGCAAGGAGGUGGCAUCCUCACGCCACCGGAAAAGGGUCCGAGUCGGAGGCAAUGUUCCUCCUGCACUCAACAGGUCCCUGUGGACAAACUCACCGUUUCGACCUAAAAGCAGUGACCAAAAAAGGGAAGAGCUUGAG
Molecule: long non-coding RNA, 799 nt
Organism: Solanum stenotomum
Lineage: Eukaryota; Viridiplantae; Streptophyta; Magnoliopsida; Solanales; Solanaceae
Exons: 6
Source: RefSeq, a predicted model, not a curated record